RNAcentral lists this microRNA (20 nucleotides) under Corchorus capsularis. RNAcentral's name for it is "sRNA CCACVL1_25466". The record is from RNAcentral. Lineage: Eukaryota; Viridiplantae; Streptophyta; Magnoliopsida; Malvales; Malvaceae.
CAAAAACAACAAUUACAUUU